Loxodonta africana (African savanna elephant) is the source of this 106-nucleotide small nuclear RNA. NCBI's taxonomy places the organism in Eukaryota, Metazoa, Chordata, Mammalia, Proboscidea, Elephantidae. The record is from Ensembl.
GUGCUCUCUUCGGCAGCACAUGUACUAAAAUUGGAAAGAUACAGAGAAGAUCAUCAUGGCCUCUGCGCAAGGGUGACAUGCAAAUUCAUGAAGGUUCCAUAUUUUG